This 169-nucleotide ribosomal RNA is filed under the name uncultured bacterium. RNAcentral's name for it is "partial 16S ribosomal RNA". It matches the Rfam family "Bacterial small subunit ribosomal RNA", at positions 338 to 524 of the family's 1533-position model. The record is from RNAcentral.
CCUACGGGAGGCAGCAGUGAGGAAUUUUCCGCAAUGGGCGAAAGCCUGACGGAGCAAUGCCGCGUGAAGGAUGAAGGCCUGCGGGUUGUAAACUUCUUUUCUUAGAGAAGAUAUUGACGGUAUCUAAGGAAUAAGCAUCGGCUAACCCUGUGCCAGCAGCCGCGGUAAU